UGCAUCGGAACGUGUCCCGUAGUGGGGGAUAACCCGGCGAAAGCCGGACUAAUACCGCAUAUGCUCUAAGGAGGAAAGUGGGGGACCCCAAAGGGCCUCACGCUAUGGGAGCGGCCGAUGUCCGAUUAGCUUGUUGGUGGGGUAAUGGCCUACCAAGGCGACGAUCGGUAGCUGGUCUGAGAGGAUGAUCAGCCACACUGGGACUGAGACACGGCCCAGACUCCUACGGGAGGCAGCAGUGGGGAAUUUUGGACAAUGGGGGCAACCCUGAUCCAGCCAUGCCGCGUGCGGGAAGAAGGC
RNAcentral lists this ribosomal RNA (300 nucleotides) under uncultured beta proteobacterium. Its description in RNAcentral is "bacterial SSU rRNA". It matches the Rfam family "Bacterial small subunit ribosomal RNA", at positions 114 to 415 of the family's 1533-position model. Lineage: Bacteria; Pseudomonadati; Pseudomonadota; Betaproteobacteria. The record is from RNAcentral.